CCUACGGGAGGCAGCAGUGGGGAAUUUUGGACAAUGGGCGCAAGCCUGAUCCAGCCAUGCCGCGUGCGGGAAGAAGGCCUUCGGGUUGUAAACCGCUUUUGUCAGGGAAGAAACGCUCUGGGCUAAUACCCUGGGGUAAUGACGGUACCUGAAGAAUAAGCACCGGCUAACUACGUGCCAGCAGCCGCGGUAAUACGUAGGGUGCAAGCGUUAAUCGGAAUUACUGGGCGUAAAGCGUGCGCAGGCGGCUAUGCAAGACAGAUGUGAAAUCCCCGGGCUCAACCUGGGAACUGCAUUUGUGACUGCAUAGCUAGAGUACGGUAGAGGGGGAUGGAAUUCCGCGUGUAGCAGUGAAAUGCGUAGAUAUGCGGAGGAACACCGAUGGCGAAGGCAAUCCCCUGGACCUGUACUGACGCUCAUGCACGAAAGCGUGGGGAGCAAACAGGAUUAGAUACCCUGGUAGUCCACGCCCUAAACGAUGUCAACUGGUUGUUGGGAGGGUUUCUUCUCAGUAACGUAGCUAACGCGUGAAGUUGACCGCCUGGGGAGUACGGCCGCAAGGUUGAAACUUAAGGAAUUGACGG
RNAcentral lists this ribosomal RNA (584 nucleotides) under uncultured bacterium. RNAcentral describes it as "bacterial SSU rRNA". It matches the Rfam family "Bacterial small subunit ribosomal RNA", at positions 338 to 916 of the family's 1533-position model. The record is from RNAcentral.